RNAcentral lists this ribosomal RNA (478 nucleotides) under uncultured bacterium. RNAcentral describes it as "partial 16S ribosomal RNA". It matches the Rfam family "Bacterial small subunit ribosomal RNA", at positions 28 to 507 of the family's 1533-position model. The record is from RNAcentral.
GAUGAACGCUGGCGGCGUGCUUAACACAUGCAAGUCGAACGAGAAGUGAAGACGGAAACCUUCGGGCGGAAGGCUUUAUUUCGAGUGGCGGACGGGUGAGUAACGCGUGGGUAACCUGCCUCAUACAGGGGGAUAACAGUUGGAAACGACUGUUAAUACCGCAUAAAACCACAGCACCGCAUGGUGCGGGGGUAAAAACUCCGGUGGUAUGAGAUGGACCCGCGUUCGAUUAGCCAGUUGGCGGGGUAACGGCCCACCAAAGCGACGAUCGAUAGCCGAUCUGAGAGGAUGACCGGCCACAUUGGGACUGAGACACGGCCCAAACUCCUACGGGAGGCAGCAGUGGGGAAUAUUGCACAAUGGGGGAAACCCUGAUGCAGCGACGCCGCGUGAGUGAAGAAGUAUUUCGGUAUGUAAAGCUCUAUCAGCAGGGAAGAAAAUGACGGUACCUGAGUAAGAAGCCCCGGCUAACUACGUG